RNAcentral lists this ribosomal RNA (563 nucleotides) under uncultured archaeon. Its description in RNAcentral is "bacterial SSU rRNA". It matches the Rfam family "Archaeal small subunit ribosomal RNA", at positions 326 to 897 of the family's 1478-position model. The record is from RNAcentral.
CGGGGUGCAGCAGGCGCGAAAACUUUACAAUGCGGGAAACCGUGAUAGGGGAACUCCGAGUGCCCGUUAAAUCGGGCUGUCCAUCAGUUUAAAUAACUGGUGAAGAAAGGGCCGGGCAAGACCGGUGCCAGCCGCCGCGGUAAUACCGGCGGCUCGAGUGGUGGCCACUAUUACUGGGCUUAAAGCGUUCGUAGCUGGUUUGUUAAGUCUCUGGGGAAAUCUUCCGGCUUAACCGGAAGGCGUUUCAGGGAUACUGGCAGACUAGGGACCGGGAGAGGUGAGGGGUACUCCAGGGGUAGGAGUGAAAUCCUGUAAUCCUUGGGGGACCACCUGUGGCGAAGGCGCCUCACCAGAACGGCUCCGACAGUGAGGGACGAAAGCUGGGGGAGCAAACCGGAUUAGAUACCCGGGUAGUCCCAGCCGUAAACGAUGUGCGUUAGGUGUAUCGGUGACCACGAGUCACCGAGGUGCCGAAGAGAAAUCGUGAAACGUACCGCCUGGGAAGUACGGUCGCAAGGCUGAAACUUAAAGGAAUUGGCGGGGGAGCACAAGGGCGAUUCGCG